RNAcentral lists this ribosomal RNA (359 nucleotides) under uncultured bacterium. RNAcentral's name for it is "partial 16S ribosomal RNA". It matches the Rfam family "Bacterial small subunit ribosomal RNA", at positions 338 to 694 of the family's 1533-position model. The record is from RNAcentral.
CCUACGGGUGGCAGCAGUGAGGAAUAUUGGACAAUGGGCGCGAGCCUGAACCAGCCAAGUAGCGUGAAGGAUGACUGCCCUACGGGUUGUAAACUUCUUUUAUAAAGGAAUAAAGUGAGGCACGUGUGCCUUUUUGUAUGUACUUUAUGAAUAAGGAUAGGCUAACUCCGUGCCAGCCGCCGCGGUAAUACGGAGGAUCCGAGCGUUAUCCGGAUUUAUUGGGUUUAAAGGGAGCGUAGAUGGGUAGUUAAGUCAAUUGUGAAAGUUUGCGGCUAAACCGUAAAAUGGCAAUUGAUACUGGCAGCCUGGAGUACAGAUGAGGUAGGAGGAAUGCGCGGUGUAGCGGUGAAAUGCUUAGA